Molecule: long non-coding RNA, 780 nt
Filed under: Olea europaea subsp. europaea
Lineage: Eukaryota; Viridiplantae; Streptophyta; Magnoliopsida; Lamiales; Oleaceae
Source: RNAcentral
UUUGUUGUUUACUAAUGAUGCCUAACAAUAUAAGUUCUAUUUGUUGCAGCAAAAGGGAAAUUUAUGUACUAGCAUAUAAGGUUAAGCAUUAUACAUAUUGUUCCAGCAAAAGGAAAAUUAGAUAUUUUCGUUCACUUACCCAAAAAAUUUUUAAACCGUUGAAAGAUUUAGAAGCAAACACUAAAAUUUACCAAACUAGUUCUUUAUAUUUAGCUUUUGAGUUAGAAACACAGUUUGAAUAUAAUCCUAAAUCCUAAUCCCAUUUUUGAUUCCCAUUCAAUAAUUAAAAGGAACUAGAAUAUAUUAGCAAUAAAUCCUAUUCCCAGAAUCCGAUUCAAUAUAAUCCUAAUCUCAUUCAAUAUUUGAGCAAUAAAUCAUAAUCCCAUAACAUGAUUACCUAAUCCUAGCAAAAUCUGAAAAUAAUCCCACCUCCCACUACCCAGCAUAUGACAGUGAAGGCACAAAACCCUUUGGCUCCACAGCUCACCCUAAAUCAGAUUCUCCAUCUUAAAAUAUUUUAAAAGAACAAGAAAAAAAAAUAUAAACAAAAUGAGUAUCUCCGUAGCAAUGGCAACAGAUAGGGACGAGAGAGGACAUUGAGGUAUAAUUUGAGAAUGAAGUAAUCAUGAAUUGAUAAAUUGGGAUUUAGCUUUCACUGAUAGUAUCGAUGAAAGAAAGGCGACGCAGGCGGCACCAUAUCAAGGGCUCACAGAGAUGAGAGUGAGAAUAUGAGAGGCUGAGAGAAAAAUUCAAAGUUGUCGUGCCUUCGUAAUCGUCCGU